Megalops cyprinoides (Indo-Pacific tarpon) is the source of this 1733-nucleotide RNA transcript. It is a transcript of the gene named ceramide synthase 6-like, with no coding region annotated. Lineage: Eukaryota; Metazoa; Chordata; Actinopteri; Elopiformes; Megalopidae. The transcript is spliced from 10 exons. The record is from RefSeq and is a predicted model, not a curated record.
CAAGAGCAGAUCCCGUCAGGCAGACAGACCUGCAAAAAUCAGCCGUCAGAGAUCAGCGCAACUUCGCAUCGGCCAUUGAGAGGGGUUUGACGAUACUAACGUUAGUCAAAGGCGACAGGACCUAAAAUACACAAAGGGAAAUGGCAGGUAUUUUGGUUUGGUUUUGGAACGAGAGAUUUUGGCUCCCUCAUAACGUAACCUGGGCUGACUUAAAAAACACUGAUGAGGCAACCUUCCCGCAAGCCGAGGAUCUGUAUCUAGCCUUUCCUUUGGCAGUCUGCAUCUUUAUGAUUCGGCUCGUUUUCGAAAGGGUUAUUGCGCGACCAUGUGCCUUGGGUUUAAAGAUACAGGCAAAUGGGCCGCAGAAAGCCCAGCCCAAUGCUAUCCUUGAGAAGGUCUUCACUGCCAUCACCAAGCACCCGGAUGAAAAGAGGUUAGAGGGCCUCUCCAAACAGCUGGACUGGGAUGUGCGGACCAUCCAGCGCUGGUUCCGACAGCGCCGGAACCAGGAGAAGCCUAGCACCCUGACCCGUUUCUGCGAGAGCAUGUGGAGAUUCACGUUUUAUCUGUAUAUAUUCACAUACGGAGUGCGGUUCCUGAAAAAGACACCCUGGCUAUGGAACACAAGAGAAUGCUGGUACAAUUACCCUUAUCAGCCUCUGACGGUGGACCUGCAUUACUACUAUAUAGUGGAGCUGUCUUUCUACCUGUCUCUAUUGUUUUCUCAAUUCACGGACAUCAGAAGGAAGGACUUUUUGAUCAUGUUCAUGCAUCACCUCGCGACGAUCUCCCUCAUCACCUUCUCCUAUGUCAACAACAUGGCGCGAGUGGGGACUCUGGUCAUGUGUCUGCACGACUCCGCCGACAUUCUGCUGGAGGCUGCUAAAAUGGCCAACUACGCCAAGUGCCAGAGGCUCUGUAACCUCAUAUUCGUCAUGUUUUCACUGGUAUUUAUAAGUUCCAGGCUCGGCGUUUAUCCUGUCUGGAUACUGAACACGACCCUGUUUGAGAGCUGGGAGAUCGUGGGGCCGUUCCCCUCCUGGUGGGUCUUCAACUUCCUGCUCCUGCUGCUGCAGGUGCUGCACUCCUUCUGGUGUUACCUCAUCGUGAGAAUCGCCUGCAGAGCCGUUUCCCGGGGGAAGGUGAGAGCCGCCCCUCACGGCUGCAACCGGGGCCGCUGUCCUCAGGCGGCGCCCUGCGGAACCUCAGCAUCGGCAAACCCGUUCAGCCCUACAUCAGCCCUCACGAUUAUUUACUGCCUGAUGGAAGCACCACCAGGGAAUCAUCAUCGAUCGCUCGGCAUGAAAGCAUGUUAUGGAAAAGAUGUCUAUAGCAUGUGUAGCAUUCUGUACGUAAGAGUAUUGACCUAUGAAAAUGGCUCAAAGGGCCUUUUUUUCCCCCUGUAAUUUACAUAAAUCACAUGGCUCCAGCAGCAGCGUGUUUCCUACAUGAGAUUGCAACAUGUAGUACAUACUCUGACAAGCAGGUGGUCAGCGCACAUCAAUCACUGCACCCUGUCCAGCUCCCCAGCAAAUGGAAGUGGAGUGCCUUUCUGUGACGUUGGCCGUGGUUGAGAGUGCUCUUGUUCUCGCUAGCCUUCUCUCAUUGAGUGUCUUUCUUUUGUCUGUUGUGCCGGCGUGGAAGGCGGGGAAAUGGAACCCUUUGCAUGUGUCAAAGGACGACCGAAGCGACAUCGAGACCAGCUCCGACGAGGACGAGGUCCCGCCCCCGAG